UACGGAGGGAGCUAGCGUUGUUCGGAAUUACUGGGCGUAAAGCGCACGUAGGCGGCUUUGUAAGUUAGAGGUGAAAGCCCGGGGCUCAACCCCGGAAUUGCCUUUAAGACUGCAUCGCUUGAAUCCGGGAGAGGUGAGUGGAAUUCCGAGUGUAGAGGUGAAAUUCGUAGAUAUUCGGAAGAACACCAGUGGCGAAGGCGACUCACUGGCCCGAUACUGACGCUGAGGCGCGAAAGCGUGGGGAGCAAACAGG
This 253-nucleotide ribosomal RNA is filed under the name uncultured bacterium. RNAcentral describes it as "partial 16S ribosomal RNA". It matches the Rfam family "Bacterial small subunit ribosomal RNA", at positions 524 to 776 of the family's 1533-position model. The record is from RNAcentral.